GGCGACAUAGCCAAGUGGUAAGGCCGAGGUCUGCAAAACCUCUAUCCCCAGUCCGAUUCUGGGUGUCGCCU
This 71-nucleotide transfer RNA is filed under the name Selenomonadaceae bacterium. Its description in RNAcentral is "tRNA-Cys". It matches the Rfam family "tRNA". Rfam says of the family: Transfer RNA (tRNA) molecules are approximately 80 nucleotides in length. Their secondary structure includes four short double-helical elements and three loops (D, anti-codon, and T loops). Further hydrogen bonds mediate the characteristic L-shaped molecular structure. tRNAs have two regions of fundamental functional importance: the anti-codon, which is responsible for specific mRNA codon recognition, and the 3' end, to which the tRNAs corresponding amino acid is attached (by aminoacyl-tRNA synthetases). tRNAs cope with the degeneracy of the genetic code in two manners: having more than one tRNA (with a specific anti-codon) for a particular amino acid; and 'wobble' base-pairing, i.e. permitting non-standard base-pairing at the 3rd anti-codon position. Lineage: Bacteria; Bacillati; Bacillota; Negativicutes; Selenomonadales; Selenomonadaceae. The record is from RNAcentral.